GGGGGCGAUAUGGUUUCGACGGGAAGUUGUGACAACAAAGGUAGCGAGUCGAGAUCCCGCCAACCUCGCAAAACGGUGGAAAGCACUAUAAGUGCCGAAAACAAUUACGCUUACGCUGCUUAAAUAAAGCGGCCGUCCAAUCCGGGCUUAUCCUGGGAGACCGGUGCGGGCGUCAAAUAAACCGGGACGCUCCCAAUCCAAUUCUCGGAGGAUUUGGGCUAAGAUAAUCGAGAUAGCCGCAGCGGAACUCGCGUGGGAGAGCCUCAGCGGUGAAACUAAAACCCCACGCUACACUCGUAGAGACCUUUCGAGUUGCCUUUUCGGACGCGGGUUCGAUUCCCGCCGCCUCCACCA
RNAcentral lists this transfer-messenger RNA (354 nucleotides) under bacterium. Its description in RNAcentral is "UBA4971 sp012689375 Standard tmRNA". It matches the Rfam family "transfer-messenger RNA". From Rfam's summary of the family: Bacterial tmRNA, also known as 10Sa RNA or SsrA, is named for its dual tRNA and mRNA-like properties. Its role is to liberate the mRNA from a stalled ribosome. To accomplish this part of the tmRNA is used as a reading frame that ends in a translation stop signal. RNAcentral also lists the same sequence under 1 other name. The record is from RNAcentral.